RNAcentral lists this ribosomal RNA (508 nucleotides) under uncultured bacterium. RNAcentral describes it as "bacterial SSU rRNA". It matches the Rfam family "Bacterial small subunit ribosomal RNA", at positions 28 to 509 of the family's 1533-position model. The record is from RNAcentral.
GAUGAACGCUAGCGACAGGCCUAACACAUGCAAGUCGAGGGGCAUCGGGGUGUAGCAAUACGCUGCCGGCGACCGGCGGAUGGGUGAGUAACGCGUAUGCAACCUGCCUUCAGCAGGGGGAUAGCCCGUUGAAAGACGGAUUAAUACCCCAUAACACAGGGGCUCCGCAUGGAGAUUAUUGUUAAAGGGAUACUUCCUUCGGGGGGUAUUCCGGCUGAAGAUGGGCAUGCGUUCCAUUAGGUAGUUGGUUGAGGUAACGGCUCACCAAGCCUGCGAUGGAUAGGGGAACUGAGAGGUUGGUCCCCCACACUGGUACUGAGACACGGACCAGACUCCUACGGGAGGCAGCAGUGAGGAAUCUUGGUCAAUGGACGGAAGUCUGAACCAGCCAUGUCGCGUGAAGGAGGACGGCCCUAAGGGUUGUAAACUUCUUUUGCAGGGGAAUAAAGUAUUCCACGAGAUGGGAUAUUGCAAGUACGCUGCGAAUAAGGAUCGGCUAACUCGUGCC